UGGGGAAUUUUGGACAAUGGGCGAAAGCCUGAUCCAGCCAUGCCGCGUGAAUGAAGAAGGCCUUCGGGUUGUAAAGUUCUUUUAGUUGGAAAGAAAAAAUUAUGAUGAAUAAUCAUAAUUCAUGACGGUACCGACAGAAAAAGCACCGGCUAACUACGUGCCAGCAGCCGCGGUAAUACGUAGGGUGCAAGCGUUAAUCGGAAUUACUGGGCGUAAAGGGUGUGCAGGCGGCCUUGUAAGUCAGAUGUGAAAGCCCCGGGCUUAACCUGGGAAUUGCGUUUGAAACUACAAGGCUAGAGUGCAGCAGAGGGGAGUGGAAUUCCAUGUGUAGCAGUGAAAUGCGUAGAGAUAUGGAAGAACACCGAUGGCGAAGGCAGCUCCCUGGGCUGACACUGACGCUCAUACACGAAAGCGUGGGGAGCAAACAG
This 428-nucleotide ribosomal RNA is filed under the name uncultured organism. RNAcentral describes it as "bacterial SSU rRNA". It matches the Rfam family "Bacterial small subunit ribosomal RNA", at positions 355 to 775 of the family's 1533-position model. The record is from RNAcentral.